Molecule: long non-coding RNA, 315 nt
Organism: Solea senegalensis (Senegalese sole)
Lineage: Eukaryota; Metazoa; Chordata; Actinopteri; Pleuronectiformes; Soleidae
Exons: 3
Source: RefSeq, a predicted model, not a curated record
UAGUGCAAAUUAAGGCCUCAAACGGAGUCUAAUUGCAGUCUUCAUGGUUUGUUUUAGCACCUGGCUGACGAGGGAACAAGUUUUCAUAUAAAAGCCUCCCGGACCAGUUUGUGCAUGACAUCACAUACAGAGUGGAGUGGAGUCAGACUUGAUGUUCUGGACAUGCACCAAAAAUGUUUCCUUCUGGUCUUUGACCCGGAAGUAGAAGACCUGAGGAGACUGCACUGCUAUUGCUGGAAAAUAACAAUGCAAGUUGUGUCAGCGAGAGCGAAAGCUACAGAGAAGACCUUCUUUUGGACUGACUAAGAGGCAUGU